ACCUCUGUUGAUUGAAAGCUAAGUUUCUAUCUCUGAUACAAAGGCACAAACACAAAGUGCGCAUAAGAAGAAAAUGAUAAUACCCACACAAUGGGUAUCUUCAAGACCCAGCAAAUCCAUGCUCACUCUAUCUCUUCUUUUAUCAUUUCGGCUUCUUCUGUGAUCUCUGCAUAUGAGCUGAUUUUGGGGAGCUGCGUUUUUGGUGUAAUGUGGCUUCAAUUGGUGCAUUUCUAGAUCGUCUUCUGGUUUUUUCUUUUGGAUCUCCUAGAAAUGGCUCUG
RNAcentral lists this unclassified non-coding RNA (279 nucleotides) under Hevea brasiliensis (rubber tree). Lineage: Eukaryota; Viridiplantae; Streptophyta; Magnoliopsida; Malpighiales; Euphorbiaceae. The record is from RNAcentral.